UGGGGAAUAUUGCACAAUGGGCGCAAGCCUGAUGCAGCCAUGCCGCGUGUAUGAAGAAGGCCUUCGGGUUGUAAAGUACUUUCAGCGGGGAGGAAGGCGAUAAGGUUAAUAACCUUGUCGAUUGACGUUACCCGCAGAAGAAGCACCGGCUAACUCCGUGCCAGCAGCCGCGGUAAUACGGAGGGUGCAAGCGUUAAUCGGAAUUACUGGGCGUAAAGCGCACGCAGGCGGUCUGUCAAGUCGGAUGUGAAAUCCCCGGGCUCAACCUGGGAACUGCAUUCGAAACUGGCAGGCUAGAGUCUUGGAGAGGGGGGUAGAAUUCCAGGUGUAGCGGUGAAAUGCGUAGAGAUCUGGAGGAAUACCGGUGGCGAAGGCGGCCCCCUGGACAAAGACUGACGCUCAGGUGCGAAAGCGUGGGGAGCAAACA
RNAcentral lists this ribosomal RNA (427 nucleotides) under uncultured bacterium. RNAcentral's name for it is "partial 16S ribosomal RNA". It matches the Rfam family "Bacterial small subunit ribosomal RNA", at positions 355 to 774 of the family's 1533-position model. The record is from RNAcentral.